Molecule: ribosomal RNA, 253 nt
Filed under: uncultured bacterium
Lineage: Bacteria
Description: partial 16S ribosomal RNA
Rfam family: Bacterial small subunit ribosomal RNA
Source: RNAcentral
UACGGAGGGGGUUAGCGUUGUUCGGAAUUACUGGGCGUAAAGCGCGCGUAGGCGGAUUAGAAAGUUGGAGGUGAAAUCCCGGGGCUCAACCUCGGAACUGCCUCCAAAACUGCUAGUCUAGAGUUCGAGAGAGGUGAGUGGAAUUCCGAGUGUAGAGGUGAAAUUCGUAGAUAUUCGGAGGAACACCAGUGGCGAAGGCGGCUCACUGGCUCGAUACUGACGCUGAGGUGCGAAAGUGUGGGGAGCAAACAGG